This 485-nucleotide ribosomal RNA is filed under the name uncultured bacterium. RNAcentral's name for it is "bacterial SSU rRNA". It matches the Rfam family "Bacterial small subunit ribosomal RNA", at positions 57 to 524 of the family's 1533-position model. The record is from RNAcentral.
GCAGUCGAGCGGACCGAAGGGAGCUUGCUCCUUUAGGUUAGCGGCGGACGGGUGAGUAACACGUGGGCAACCUGCCCUGCAGACUGGGAUAACUUCGGGAAACCGGAGCUAAUACCGGAUAACACCGAAAACUGCAUGGUUUUCGGUUGAAAGGCGGCUUUUAGCUGUCACUGCAGGAUGGGCCCGCGGCGCAUUAGCUAGUUGGUGAGGUAACGGCUCACCAAGGCGACGAUGCGUAGCCGACCNGAGAGGGUGACCGGCCACACUGGGACUGAGACACGGCCCAGACUCCUACGGGAGGCAGCAGUAGGGAAUCUUCCGCAAUGGACGAAAGUCUGACGGAGCAACGCCGCGUGAGCGAAGAAGGUCUUCGGAUCGUAAAGCUCUGUUGUCAGGGAAGAACGAGUACCGUUCGAACAGGGCGGUACCUUGACGGUACCUGACGAGGAAGCCACGGCUAACUACGUGCCAGCAGCCGCGGUAAU